ACGAGGACGACGCUGGCGGCGUGCCUAACACAUGCAAGUCGAGCGGAGUCGGUAAGAGGAAGUUUCGGAUGGAAUCUUAUUGAUUUAGCGGCGGACGGGUGAGUAACGCGUGAGCGACCAACCUUGCACAGGGGGAUAACGGACCGAAAGGUUCACUAAUACCGCAUGAGACCACGGUGUUGCAUGACACAGAGGUCAAAGGAGCAAUCCGGUGCAAGACGGGCUCGCGUCCGAUUAGGUAGUUGGAGGGUAACGGCCCACCAAGCCUAUGAUCGGUAGCCGACCUGAGAGGGUGAUCGGCCACAUUGGAACUGGGAUACGGUCCAAACUCCUACGGGAGGCAGCAGUGGGGAAUAUUGGGCAAUGGGGGAAAAACCCCUGACCCAGCAACGCCGCGUGAAGGAAGAAGGUUUUCGGAUUGUAAACUUCUGUCCUUGGUGAAGAGAAGAAGACGGUAGCCAAGGAGGAAGCCCCGGCUAACUACGUGCCAGCCGCAGC
Molecule: ribosomal RNA, 498 nt
Filed under: uncultured bacterium
Lineage: Bacteria
Description: bacterial SSU rRNA
Rfam family: Bacterial small subunit ribosomal RNA
Source: RNAcentral